GAUGAACGCUGGCGGCGUGCCUAAUACAUGCAAGUCGAGCGAACAGACGAGGAGCUUGCUCCUCUGACGUUAGCGGCGGACGGGUGAGUAACACGUGGAUAACCUACCUAUAAGACUGGGAUAACUUCGGGAAACCGGAGCUAAUACCGGAUAAUAUAUUGAACCGCAUGGUUCAAUAGUGAAAGACGGUUUUGCUGUCACUUAUAGAUGGAUCCGCGCCGCAUUAGCUAGUUGGUAAGGUAACAGCUUACCAAGGCAACGAUGCGUAGCCGACCUGAGAGGGUGAUCGGCCACACUGGAACUGAGACACGGUCCAGACUCCUACGGGAGGCAGCAGUAGGGAAUCUUCCGCAAUGGGCGAAAGCCUGACGGAGCAACGCCGCGUGAUUGAUGAAGGUCUUCGAAUCGUAAAGCUCUGUUAUUAGGGAAGAACAAAUGUGUAAGUAACUAUGCACGUCUUGACGGUACCUAAUCAGAAAGCCACGGCUAACUACGUG
Molecule: ribosomal RNA, 497 nt
Filed under: uncultured bacterium
Lineage: Bacteria
Description: partial 16S ribosomal RNA
Rfam family: Bacterial small subunit ribosomal RNA
Source: RNAcentral